RNAcentral lists this ribosomal RNA (468 nucleotides) under uncultured bacterium. RNAcentral describes it as "partial 16S ribosomal RNA". It matches the Rfam family "Bacterial small subunit ribosomal RNA", at positions 28 to 507 of the family's 1533-position model. The record is from RNAcentral.
GACGAACGCUGGCGGCGUGCUUAACACAUGCAAGUCGAACGGAAAGGCCCUGCUUUUGUGGUGUGCUCGAGUGGCGAACGGGUGGGUAACACGUGAGUAACCUGCCCUUGACCUUGGGAUAACUUCAGGAAACUGGGGCUAAUACCGGAUAGGAGCUCCUGCUGCAUGGUGUGGGUUGGAAAGUAUCGGCGGUAGGGGAUGGACUCGCGGCUUAUUAGCUUGUUGGUCGGGUAGUGGCUUACCACGUCUUUGACGGGUUGCCGGCCUGAGAGGGUGACCGGCCACCAGACGCCUCAGGGAAGGACCAGUAUGUAAUGGGAGGCAGGGGAGGAGAGUAUGGAACAACGAGGGGGAGUCAGUAACGACAACGUCGCGUGCGGGAUAACGGGUUUUGGGAGAUGAACCGGGAUCGCCGGAGACGAAGGGUGAGUGACGGUAUUGCGUAAAAAAGCACCGGCUAACUACGUG